Molecule: ribosomal RNA, 557 nt
Filed under: uncultured Sphingomonas sp.
Lineage: Bacteria; Pseudomonadati; Pseudomonadota; Alphaproteobacteria; Sphingomonadales; Sphingomonadaceae
Description: bacterial SSU rRNA
Rfam family: Bacterial small subunit ribosomal RNA
Source: RNAcentral
ACGGGUGCGUAACGCGUGGGAAUCUGCCCUUAGGUUCGGAAUAACAGCUGGAAACGGCUGCUAAUACCGGAUGAUAUCGCGAGAUCAAAGAUUUAUCGCCUGAGGAUGAGCCCGCGUUGGAUUAGGUAGUUGGUGGGGUAAAGGCCUACCAAGCCGACGAUCCAUAGCUGGUCUGAGAGGAUGAUCAGCCACACUGGGACUGAGACACGGCCCAGACUCCUACGGGAGGCAGCAGUGGGGAAUAUUGGACAAUGGGCGCAAGCCUGAUCCAGCAAUGCCGCGUGAAUGAUGAAGGCCCUAGGGUUGUAAAGCUCUUUUACCCGGGAAGAUAAUGACUGUACCGGGAGAAAAAGCCCCGGCUAACUCCGUGCCAGCAGCCGCGGUAAUACGGAGGGGGCUAGCGUUGUUCGGAAUUACUGGGCGUAAAGCGCACGUAGGCGGCUUUGUAAGUCAGAGGUGAAAGCCUGGAGCUCAACUCCAGAACUGCCUUUGAGACUGCAUCGCUUGAAUCCAGGAGAGGUCAGUGGAAUUCCGAGUGUAGAGGUGAAAUUCGUAGA